UGGCCGUAAACGAUGUGGACUUGGUGUUGGGAUGGCUCCGAGCUGCCCCAGUGCCGAAGGGAAGCUGUUAAGUCCACCGCCUGGGAAGUACGGUCGCAAGACUGAAACUUAAAGGAAUUGGCCGGGGGGAGGCACCACAACGCGUGGAGCCUGCGGUUUAAUUGGAGUUCAACGCCGGACAUCUCACCAGGGCGACAGCAGAAUGAUGGCCAGGUUGAUGACCUUGCUUGACAGGCUGAGAGGAGGUGCAUGGC
RNAcentral lists this ribosomal RNA (254 nucleotides) under uncultured archaeon. RNAcentral's name for it is "partial 16S ribosomal RNA". It matches the Rfam family "Archaeal small subunit ribosomal RNA", at positions 748 to 998 of the family's 1478-position model. The record is from RNAcentral.